RNAcentral lists this ribosomal RNA (484 nucleotides) under uncultured bacterium. RNAcentral describes it as "partial 16S ribosomal RNA". It matches the Rfam family "Bacterial small subunit ribosomal RNA", at positions 30 to 507 of the family's 1533-position model. The record is from RNAcentral.
AUUGAACGCUGGCGGCAGGCCUAACACAUGCAAGUCGAGCGGAUGAAGGGAGCUUGCUCCUGGUUUCAGCGGCGGACGGGUGAGUAAUGCCUAGGAAUCUGCCUGGUAGCGGGGGAUAACGUCCGGAAACGGGCGCUAAUACCGCAUACGUCCAGAGGGAGUACGUGGGGGAUCUUCGGACCUCACGCUAUCAGAUGAGCCUAGGUCGGAUUAGCUAGUUGGUGGGGUAAAGGCCUACCAAGGCGACGAUCCGUAACUGGUCUGAGAGGAUGAUCAGUCACACUGGAACUGAGACACGGUCCAGACUCCUACGGGAGGCAGCAGUGGGGAAUAUUGGACAAUGGGCGAAAGCCUGAUCCAGCCAUGCCGCGUGUGUGAAGAAGGUCUUCGGAUUGUAAAGCACUUUAAGUUGGGAAGAAGGGCAGUAAGUUAAUACCUUGCUGUUUUGACGUUACCAACAGAAUAAGCACCGGCUAACUUCGUG